UAAAAAAAUAUAGAAAAAUGAUUUAAUUUAUUUUGAAAAACAUUUUAACUAAUAAAUUUAUAUGCAUUUUUUUAUAGUAAACAAAUUUAAAAAUACAAUUGUCUAGAAAUCAUAACUCUGGCUUUAUGCAUUUUGGAAAUUAGCCUGCAUAGCAUUGAUGAUGUUAAAAGAGUUGUCGAGCUCCUAUCUUUUCAAGAAGUUCUUAACAAGUCUUCACAUCAUACGUACAACCAUCUUUCUCUUUAUAAAGGUAAAA
Molecule: long non-coding RNA, 256 nt
Filed under: Lathyrus oleraceus (garden pea)
Lineage: Eukaryota; Viridiplantae; Streptophyta; Magnoliopsida; Fabales; Fabaceae
Description: Pisum sativum (pea) long non-coding RNA (PSAT_LNC021879)
Source: RNAcentral